CAACAGGCUCUGCUGCUGCUCCACUCCCUAUGACAGGCCCUCUGGUUACCCCAGCCCUUACAUCUAAAACAGAGAAUCAACCUGUGCUGAUAUCAGUUGCUCCUAUAUACAAAAGAAAGAAACAAACAAAAAAAUGGCUGCAAAAAUCAGCUCAUUUGGUAAGAAAAGAAUCUCCUACUAAGAAGGAGAUGAAAGAAGAGGAUGAGGAAGACUGUGAUGAAACAGGGCCAUCACAUGGAUGGAAGGAGGAAGAGGCACAACUCAUAAAGGAAGUCAAUACCUGGAACAACCUUCACGUGCUACCAUAUCAGAAUUAGAUUCAGGGAGGCCACAUCUGGAGUACUGUGCCCACUUUUGGGCUCCUCAGUUCAAGAAAGAUGGUGAACUACUGGAGAGAGUCCAAUGAAAGGCAACAAAGAAAAUUAGGAGCCCAGUGCAUCUCCACUGUCUGGAAAGGCUUAAAGACCUGGGGCUUUAAGCCUGAAGAAGACUGAGUGAAAAAGACUG
Molecule: long non-coding RNA, 507 nt
Filed under: Gallus gallus (chicken)
Lineage: Eukaryota; Metazoa; Chordata; Aves; Galliformes; Phasianidae
Description: lncRNA (ENSGALG00010007383.1)
Source: RNAcentral